GGACGAUGCUCCUUCGGAGAUUUGCGGGGCACCCCCCCCACCCCACCCCAAAAGAAAGUAAUUACUUGGAAGUAAAAUUCCUACUGAUUUAAAUGGAAUUUCCUGCCAACUAACGGUACUUGGAUACUUGGAAUUGCUUCCUUGGCUUAAUGACCUGUCACCACUAUCUAGUCAAACCAUAUUCAUUGUCUUCCCUAAAUCGCUCCCCUCAUUGUUCCUCUCCCAUACAGAAGAAAGUUUUCUCCCAAUGUGAGGCACCAUCCAACACGCGCUCACUAAUCGGGCGUGUGCAAAAUGCACUCGUCAGGAUCUGGGACUCUUGCUCGUCAGAGCAUGUAGGUUAGUAGAGUCUGCAUGCAAUCCGAAGGAGAUACGGAACGGGGAUACUAAGUCCACUUCUGUUUUCUUCUUUUAACCACUCCCUCGGAUGGCAGUUUAGCAGGGGCAAGAAAAUCUGCAGAGGGCUGCAGCAGAGCCGACUCCCCCUCCCCCAGCAGGCAUGGGCUGGCAAAUAAAUAUGAAUGCACCUGCAGAGCAGCAGCUGAAUUGGUGCAGCUCUCUCUGUCUCUCCCUCCCCGCCGCCCGUUUCCAUUCGCCUGCAAGGAACUGCAGCGCCGCUUAUAUAGGGAAUAAUAAUAUUAGUAAGACAUGCAUUUUGUAUGCCGUUGGAGCUCUGCAAGGGGCACUGCAGCUAGAUCGGAUUCUGUCAUCUCAGCAGCCAAUACUGACCGCCAGCCUGAUCCAAACUUGGUGUCGUCAGACCGAAUUCCCCCCACCCACAGGCCCCCUUGAAUUGAGGUCAUCGACUUCUAACCUCAGACAGACAACCGUCCCUCCGCCAAACGCGCCCUAUUUGUCAUCACGUGCUCGCUAAUGGUCUGCUCCGCUCUCCAGGGGGGCUUCACAGUGGAUUCAGUGCAAUUGUGGAUUUCCAAGUGACGGGAAAGGAAGACCACUGAAUCACCCGCGGCGCUUUACAGGGGGAAUUGUCCUUUUCAUACUGUUAUAAUUCCACUGAACUCACUGUACUGAUGAAUCACAUCGCUGGAAUCAAGAGAAGAUGUCUGAUUAUGUCACUUUAGUCACUUCAUGGAACUCUGUGCACUGAGGCUACACUUUCAACAAGCUGUCCACCACGACCCCAAGAUCCCUCUCCUGGUCAGUCCCUGACAGCUCAGACCCCACAGUGUAUAUGUGAAGGGGGGGGGUUGCCCCAAUAUGCAUCACUUUACACUUGCUUGCACUGAACUGCAUUUGCCAUUUUGUCACCCACUCAGCUAGUUUGGAGAGAUCCUUUUGGAGCUCCUCACAAUCUGUUGUGGAUUUCACUGCCCUAAAUAGUUUAGUGUCAUCUGCAAAUUUGGCCACUUGGCUGCUUAUCCCAACUUCUAGAUCAUUUAUGAAUAAGUUAAAGAGCAUUGGUCCCAGUACAGCUCCCUGGGGGACCCCACUUCUUACUUCCAUCCAUUGUGAAAACUGUUCAUUUAUUCCUAGCCUCUGCUUCUUGUCCUUCAACCAGUUUCCGAUCCACACAUGAACCUGUCCCCUUAUCCCAUGACUGCUAAGUUUACUCAAGAAACUGAAAAUGCUGAGAAACUUUGUCAAAAGCUUUUUGGAAGUCCAAGUAUACUAUGUCAACCGAAUCACCUUUAUCCACAUGUCUGUUGACACUCUCAAAGAACUCCAAAAAGUUAGUGAGGCAAGACUUGCCCUUGCAGAAGCCAUGCUGAUUCUCCUUCAGCAAGGCCUCUUCUAUAUAUUUAACUAUUUUGUCCUUAAGUAUGCUUUCCAUCAAUUUAAGCUAACCGACCAGUAGUUUGUAAGAUCUCCCAUGGAUUUCCCUUGGAUCCUAGGACCCUCUGGGCUCCGUUUCAAUCCCUGGCAUCUCUGGAUAGGACUGGGAAAGAUUCCUGCCUGACACCUUGGAAGAGCAUCUGUUUUGCAGGCAGAAGCUCUCAGGCUCAAUCCCUGGCAUCUCAAAGUAGGGUUGUAAAAGAUUCCUUUUGUCAGUCAGUGUAGACAAUACUGAGCUAAAUGGACCAACGGUCUGACUCAUAAGGUAGCUUCCUAUGUUCCUUCUUAUGUUUUUAAAUUGGUUGUUACAGGUCACCACAGGGUGUUACAGGUGGCUAGGAAUAGUUUUAAACAAAUGGUUAAAAUAUGCUGGGAAUUUUAAAAAAGAAAACAGAGAGGGCUCAGUGGGAGGAGAUUUUGCAGUAAUAGUGGAUAGACUCACCAGCCAUACUUCCUCUCAAGGCCAGUCCCUACCCCAUCUAAUAUUAACUUGUACACCUUUCAUGAAAUGUGAUCUCUAUUUUGGAGUCAACCAAAACAGAACUGGAAUUAAAACCCAGAUUCUGCUAUUAAAAAAGAAGUUCUGGUAAGAACGAAUCUGCCUACUUUCCUUUCACUAUAACUUAAUUGAUAAUUACCAUAUUCACAAGUUACCCCACUUCUGCUUCAAACCUUUCCACAUCCGCUAUCUUGAAUGUGGGUGGCUGACAUCAGCACAAACUGUGCCAUUGAGGUAUCUCUAUGUGUCCCUACAAUUGUACCAAAUUUGGCUCAGAUCAGUUAGGCGGUUCACAAGUUAGCCCAUGUGCGCCUCAAAUGUUCAUGCAUCCACCAUGCUGAACUGGGGUGGAUGACAUUGUUGCCAGAAGCUGCAUUUGGGGAGUCAUGCAGAAAGGUACCCCUCUCCAUGAUUUAACUCACAGGCUAACAUCCUCAGUGAACUUUUCACCUCACAUAGCCCAAGCAGCUUGGCAUGAGCAGGUCGUUAGCGCAGGCAGAAUUUGGCAGCAUGCCUCCAGGUUAAAGUGUUAACAAACCACAAAAGGACAUGGCCAGCUCCUCCUCUAUAAAGACCCAUCUAAAGACCCAUCAAUAUCAAUAGACCCAUCUAAAGUAGAUUGUUCUGGGAGAAGAUGCUCCCGCCCAGAGAUAGCAAUUGGAAUGCUCAACAGGACAAGCAGGGAUACAGCCAUUUCCUACCUUGUUAAGUUUGAUGAAGUAGCUGACAAAGAUAAGGGUUGAGGCACUCAUAGGUAAACAACAGGUCUGCAUUUUGCAUCUAAGAUGCCUUAGCUUCAAGAUAAUAAGCAAACAGAACCAUGUCCUCAUACACAUAAACAUUUACAUAGCUUGCACUUACCUUUGUCCAAAAGGGCCGACCCACACUGACACAGUCCAUCUAGCAAUGAACACUUUUGUUUUGCAAGAAUCUUCCUGCCCUACAGGGAAGGAUAACCCACCUGAAUGAAUCACAAACUGCCUCCGGGCAUAUUUUCAAGUAUAACUGUCCCAAGAGAGCCCCAUGGUCUCAAACACUUUGGAUCCUACCAUCCUACGGACUCUCACAGGAGAACUGUGACUGCUGCCCCUUAUCCCCACUGCAUCCCACUCUCCUGAGGUGGCACCAUGCCCAAACUUCGCGCAAACAACACACUAGGAAGGAUAGGUAAGCAUUUGUACCUCAAGCAUUGUACCUCAAGGGGCUCACUCUCUUUUUGUAACUCUCUAUUUUUACCCUAAAUAAAGCUUUGAAACUUUGA
Molecule: long non-coding RNA, 3554 nt
Organism: Hemicordylus capensis (graceful crag lizard)
Lineage: Eukaryota; Metazoa; Chordata; Lepidosauria; Squamata; Cordylidae
Exons: 2
Source: RefSeq, a predicted model, not a curated record